Molecule: unclassified non-coding RNA, 117 nt
Organism: Pongo abelii (Sumatran orangutan)
Lineage: Eukaryota; Metazoa; Chordata; Mammalia; Primates; Hominidae
Rfam family: Metazoan signal recognition particle RNA
About the family: The signal recognition particle (SRP) is a universally conserved ribonucleoprotein. It is involved in the co-translational targeting of proteins to membranes. The eukaryotic SRP consists of a 300-nucleotide 7S RNA and six proteins: SRPs 72, 68, 54, 19, 14, and 9.
Source: Ensembl
GCCGGGCAUGGUGGCUCAUGCCUGUAAUCCCAGCACUUUGGGAGGCUGAGGUGGGUGGAUCACCUGAGGUCAGGAGUUGGAGACCAGUCUGACCAACAUGGUGAAACCCCGUCUCUA